GUGGCAAUCAUGCACAUCAUUCAAAUAGUAUACAGAUAUGCGGAAGUUUCAACAUACGGAAACAUGGCCAAUAUUAUAAUUCAACUGAAUAAUCAAAUAUGAAAUUUCAUAAACCUACAUCAGUAUUUUACAUCAGUCUGCAAAAUCUCUAAUACAUCAAAGCCAGUAUCUUAGUUAAAACUAGGACAAGGCCCCUAGUCGGACCAACUCCAUAAUGAAAUAACAAUGAACUAAAAAUGGCCUUCCAAAGUAAGGGAGGCUCACCAACUACACACUUCUGUCUGACAAAUCUACGCCUUAGCGGGGCCCUGGACUGAGCCUUGGACCCUGAAAUAUAAGGGGCCAAUACUGAUGUACUGGUAUGCAGAGUAAUCCAAAAACAAAAUACAACUUUUACACAACAUAGGUGAGAUCUUUUAUCACUACAAGAAAAAGGUUUAUUUUAGCCCAACUUUUAGGGAUGAGUAAAUAAUUUGGUCUCUAAAAGUAUACUUAUUAGGACGAGACUAAAUUUCGGUCCUUAAUAUUAUAUUUUAUUGCGAAGGUAAAACAUUCGUUCCCUAAUUUUUUUUAGCUAGUCCUAAAUUUUAAUUGGGAGCUUUGAGCGGGAAAAAAUAAUUCCAAAAUAAAAUGUUUAAAUUUUAAUAAUUUAUUGUAUUUCACAAAAAAUUACUUAGCUAGCACAUACGAGUAUUGUAUACAUGAUAUCGUUGACGCCUUCAAUCCACAAACAAAAUACAACGGCUAGUCGUAAAUCAAACACUACAUGUACUAAUUUAGCACCGAUUUUCCAAUUAUUUCUUCAAUUUUAUGGGUUAUUGCAGCUAAUAAUUUGACCUAAUCUCUGGUUUAUCUGAUCUAUCAUGAAUUUGAGUUAUGAUUUAGUUAUUGGUUAUUGCAAUAAUAAUUUGUCCUAAGAUGAUUUUUCAAUCUCUGGUUAUUAUAUAUAAUAAUUUGCCCUAAUCUCUUUCUUCCAAAGUUAUUCUAAAUUGUUUUAUUGCUAUCCGAAUUUGUUAUUUUUAUUGUUUGUACUACUCGAUAAUUCAGUAUGAAAUUUAUCAAUUUGUGGUUGGUUAGUUAUCGUCUUUCUAUCAUCUAGCUACUAGAAAAAGCAAUGGAGUGUAGCGUGUGCAGAUUGGGGCUGGUUUACUGCUACAUGGGGUAGGGCGGGUCUGGGUGGGAUGCGACAGAGAGCCUUAAAAUUUUAAAAAUAUGGUGGUAUGGUGAUGGAAUCUCUGAUAUUGUUGGAAGAAGGUUUGGUUUAGAAAAGUUCUGUUGGUUUUUUUUUAAAUUAUAGAAAAAAUUGAAUUCUUUUAGUCUUUUUUGACACCCUUUUAGUUUCUAUUCAUGUAUGUGGUUAACAAAUGCUUCACCACAAUCCUAUGUGCUUUUCCUCAUAUUGAAAUGGUAUUUUACUUUCUAAUUAUAGUUAAAGAUUGAAUUUUUUUGGCUCUUUCUUGGAACCCUUUUAAUUUGUGUUAUGGGUGUGGUUAACAAAUAAUAUAUGGUUAGACGCUUCACCAUAAUGUUCUGUGUUUUUCCUCAUGUAAAAUGAAUUUAAAUGUUGUUUUAUUAUUCUUUUUUCUCCCUAAUUUUAGUUAAUGAUUGGAUUUAUUUGUUAAUUUCCUGGCACCCUUUUCAUUUCUAUUCAUGGGUGUCAUUAACAAAUAUCCCUACAUUAUAACAGUCCUUUCUAUUUUAUUUUUCUCAUAUCAAAAUGGUACAAUGUUUUUUUCUUUCUCUUUUUGCUGGCAAAUUAUAGAAAAAGAUUGGAUUUUUCUCUCUUUCUGGACACCUUUUUAUUUUCUAUUAACAAGUGUGGUUGAAAAAUACUGUAAGGUUAAAUGUUUCACUACAUUCCUUUGUGUUUUUCCUUAUAUUAUAAUGGGUUUAAAUAUUAUUUUCUUGAUCUUUUUGCUUCCUAAUUAUAGUUAAACAUUGAUUUUUUUUUGUUUCUGGUCAACUAUUUAGUUUCUGUUCAUGGGUAAUAUGGAGGGAGAAUAGGCUCCAAGUAACAUGGGAUUACUGCAAUUUUAUUCUUUGAUUAUCUUAAUGAGACAAAUAAAUGGUUGCUAAUUCCCCAAAUGAAGAAGAGUACAUCAAAAUGCUAAAUCUGUUGCUUAUUUUGAAAAAUGAAGCAUACAAUAGAAGUUACACAUAAUUAUUUUUUGUUCUCACCUUAAAAAAUGCAAAUGGAGAUUCCCAGAUUCUUCUCGCAUCAUCAUACCGAUGCCAAAAAAAUAGAAGUUAUAGAUUAGGCCAUAAAUGCAUAAAAUUUGUCUCUCCGGGGUCUAGUUUUAAAAUAGAUCACCAAAAUGAGUACUUCAAAAGUUGCAUUAUUUUAGCAUCUGAACUUUCUUUCUAAAUGUGAUAGUCAAGGUUGAAAUUUCAUAAAAUUCUACUAUUACUUUGCUAAGUGUUUGUUUGAGUAUUCUUUUCUAUCCAUUGAGCAUUCUGUGAAUUUCCUACACUUGGAUGUUUCUUUGCCAAGCUUUUGGUUGUUG
RNAcentral lists this long non-coding RNA (2504 nucleotides) under Capsicum annuum. RNAcentral describes it as "long non-coding RNA (CANN_LNC007187)". The record is from RNAcentral. Lineage: Eukaryota; Viridiplantae; Streptophyta; Magnoliopsida; Solanales; Solanaceae.